Molecule: ribosomal RNA, 439 nt
Filed under: Troglohyphantes bolognai
Lineage: Eukaryota; Metazoa; Arthropoda; Arachnida; Araneae; Linyphiidae
Description: partial large subunit ribosomal RNA
Source: RNAcentral
UUUUUAUAUUUUUUUUAUAAGUAAAAUUUGCUCCAUGAAAAUAAAUAGCCGCAGAAUUUUAACUUGCUAAGGGUAGCAUAAUCAUUUACCUUUUAAUUAAAGGUUUGUAUGAAUGAUUCAACAUUUAAAUUACUUUUUACUAAAAUUCAUCUAAAUUAAACUAAUCAUUAAAAUGUGUUUAUAAAAAAAAAAGACGACAAGACCCUACUGAACUUCACUUAUGUUAAGCUGGGGAAGCUAAUUAAAUAUAAUUUUAAUUUUAAUUAAUACAAUUUUUUCUGAAAUAUUCAAUUUUAAACAAGUUACCAUAGGGAUAACAGCGUAAUAAUUUUUUAAAGCUCUUAUUAAAAAAAAAGGUUACGACCUCGAUGUUGAAUUAGAAUUACUUUAAACCGCAAUAGUGCUAAAAGUAGGUCUGUUCGACCUUUAAUUUUCUACA